AUUGAACGCUGGCGGCAUGCCUUGCACAUGCAAGUCGAGCGGCAGCACGGGUGCUUGCACCUGGUGGCGAGUGGCGAACGGGUGAGUAAUACAUCGGAACAUGUCCUGUAGUGGGGGAUAGCCCGGCGAAAGCCGGAUUAAUACCGCAUACGAUCUACGGAUGAAAGCGGGGGACCUUCGGGCCUCGCGCUAUAGGGUUGGCCGAUGGCUGAUUAGCUAGUUGGUGGGGUAAAGGCCUACCAAGGCGACGAUCAGUAGCUGGUCUGAGAGGACGACCAGCCACACUGGGACUGAGACACGGCCCAGACUCCUACGGGAGGCAGCAGUGGGGAAUUUUGGACAAUGGGCGAAAGCCUGAUCCAGCAAUGCCGCGUGUGUGAAGAAGGCCUUCGGGUUGUAAAGCACUUUUGUCCGGAAAGAAAUCCUUGGCCCUAAUACGGUCGGGGGAUGACGGUACCGGAAGAAUAAGCACCGGCUAACUACGU
RNAcentral lists this ribosomal RNA (485 nucleotides) under uncultured bacterium. RNAcentral describes it as "partial 16S ribosomal RNA". It matches the Rfam family "Bacterial small subunit ribosomal RNA", at positions 30 to 506 of the family's 1533-position model. The record is from RNAcentral.